UCCCUAUAGCUCAGACGGUAAAGAAUCUGCCUGCAAUGCAGGAAACCCAGGUUCGAUCCCUGGGUUGGGAA
This 71-nucleotide transfer RNA is filed under the name Ovis aries (sheep). It matches the Rfam family "tRNA". From Rfam's summary of the family: Transfer RNA (tRNA) molecules are approximately 80 nucleotides in length. Their secondary structure includes four short double-helical elements and three loops (D, anti-codon, and T loops). Further hydrogen bonds mediate the characteristic L-shaped molecular structure. tRNAs have two regions of fundamental functional importance: the anti-codon, which is responsible for specific mRNA codon recognition, and the 3' end, to which the tRNAs corresponding amino acid is attached (by aminoacyl-tRNA synthetases). tRNAs cope with the degeneracy of the genetic code in two manners: having more than one tRNA (with a specific anti-codon) for a particular amino acid; and 'wobble' base-pairing, i.e. permitting non-standard base-pairing at the 3rd anti-codon position. Lineage: Eukaryota; Metazoa; Chordata; Mammalia; Artiodactyla; Bovidae. The record is from Rfam by way of RNAcentral.